RNAcentral lists this unclassified non-coding RNA (349 nucleotides) under soil metagenome. RNAcentral's name for it is "partial contains 5.8S ribosomal RNA, internal transcribed spacer 2, and large subunit ribosomal RNA". The stretch from base 1 to 120 matches the Rfam family "5.8S ribosomal RNA", at positions 35 to 154 of the family's 154-position model. The record is from RNAcentral.
GAUGAAGAACGUAGCGAAAUGCGAUACGUAAUGUGAAUUGCAGAAUUCAGUGAAUCAUCGAAUCUUUGAACGCACAUUGCGCCCGCCAGCACUCUGGCGGGCAUGCCUGUCCGAGCGUCAUUUCAACCCUCAGGGCCCCUUCGGGGGACCUGGCGUUGGGGAUCGGCCCGCCCCCGUGCGGCGCCGUCCCCGAAAUAUAGUGGCGGUCUCGCUGCAGCCUCCCCUGCGUAGUAGCACACCUCGCACUGGAGAGCGGCGCGGCCACGCCGUGAAACCCCCAACUUCUGAAUGUUGACCUCGGAUCAGGUAGGAAUACCCGCUGAACUUAAGCAUAUCAAUAAGCGGAGGA